GCUCACAGGUUCACUCCUUUGUCCUUGACCAGCAUCUUUAAAUUCUUCACUCACUUGAGAUUCAUUAAUUACAUCACAGAUAUUCUCAAGUGGUGGGCAAGUUUUACACACAAGUUGAUCAACACAAUUUUCACAUAACGAUGUACUUUCAUUCAACUCAAUAGCUUCAACACUAGGUGGACACAAAUCGAUCUUACUAGAAGAGUCGAUUCGGUCAUUUAUAGGAUCAACUAGUGUAUCCACUCG
Molecule: long non-coding RNA, 246 nt
Filed under: Capsicum annuum
Lineage: Eukaryota; Viridiplantae; Streptophyta; Magnoliopsida; Solanales; Solanaceae
Description: long non-coding RNA (CANN_LNC013389)
Source: RNAcentral